This is a non-coding RNA of Gasterosteus aculeatus aculeatus (three-spined stickleback), 898 nucleotides long. The record is from RefSeq and is a predicted model, not a curated record. Lineage: Eukaryota; Metazoa; Chordata; Actinopteri; Perciformes; Gasterosteidae.
AGAAGGUGCAGUUUUUUGGUGUGUGGAAAAAAGCUGCUGAAACCCUCAGUAGGAAUGGACAAAGGCUCUCAGUAUCCUACGUGUGCUGCCUUCAUUGUUCCCCUCUUCAUCUGCUCCUCUGAAGAAGUUAGGACAUGUGAGUGAGGCUCUUGUGCAUGUCCUCGAGGAAAAAGAAGACCCCAAUGACUAUCUGAAGAAACGUCGUCUCUCCUGCCCAGUCCUUAUUGUGAGUUUGUCCAACUGCCUCCUGGCUGUAGGAGAUGUGCUGAUAACUACGCUCCCAAAAGACAAGGUAACACAGGGUGUUUUAUACCUUACGGCCUACUAUUAUGCUCUACACCUUACUUACCCCAGGUGCGUAGCCACUCUGCUCUCUGUCAUAAAAACGGAGGUUCUCUUGGACACAAUCCAUGAGCGAGACCUCACACCAUCUUUCAAGAAGGGCAUGGCUGACUGGAAAGCCUUUGUUGGCAAGUAAAGCCGUUUCCAUUCUUAUUUAGCAAAUGUUUCCCAAUGUUAAGGUCGCAAUAAUAACAAUGUUGUUGAUCUAUUGAGGGACACAGUGGUCAAAUAUUUAUGUUAAUGUUAGCCCAAGACCCAUAACUUGUUGCAAUAAUAAGCACAUUGUAAGUGUAUUGAGGAGACAGAGGUCAGAUGAUUAUGUCUGACUGUAAUCCAUGUGUUACACAUAUAUGUCAUGUUUUGCUAUGUUUUUUUACUAUUAUUAGUAUUUUAUUACAGUGCCAUACACACUGCGCCAAAACAUGACUGGUGCUGCAGGCACAGUGUAACUGACUAACUGCACUGUAUUGUAAGAAUUGUUUGCUCCCUCCUGCAUUUCAGAGCUAAAGAGGCAUGCUCUUUCUUAUGCAAAUAAAAUAUUUGUUUGUUUAAUGCA